AGUGAACGCUGGCGGUAGGCCUAACACAUGCAAGUCGAACGGCAGCACAGUAAGAGCUUGCUCUUACGGGUGGCGAGUGGCGGACGGGUGAGGAAUACAUCGGAAUCUACUUUUUCGUGGGGGAUAACGUAGGGAAACUUACGCUAAUACCGCAUACUACCUACGGGUGAAAGCAGUGGAUCUUCGGACCUUGCGCGAUUCAAUGAGCCGAUGCCGGAUUAGCUAGUUGGCGAGGUAAAGGCCCACCAAGGCGACGAUCCGUAGCUGGCCUGAGAGGAUGAUCAGCCACACUGGAACUGAGACACGGUCCAGACUCCUACGGGAGGCAGCAGUGGGGAAUAUUGGACAAUGGGCGCAAGCCUGAUCCAGCCAUACCGCGUGAGUGAAGAAGGCCUUCGGGUUGUAAAGCCCUUUUGUUGGGAAAGAAAAGCAGCAGGUUAAUACCCAGCUGUUCUGACGGUACCCAAAGAAUAAGCAACGGCUAACUUCGUG
RNAcentral lists this ribosomal RNA (492 nucleotides) under uncultured bacterium. RNAcentral describes it as "partial 16S ribosomal RNA". It matches the Rfam family "Bacterial small subunit ribosomal RNA", at positions 29 to 507 of the family's 1533-position model. The record is from RNAcentral.